RNAcentral lists this small RNA (661 nucleotides) under Pongo abelii (Sumatran orangutan). RNAcentral describes it as "processed transcript". The record is from RNAcentral. Lineage: Eukaryota; Metazoa; Chordata; Mammalia; Primates; Hominidae.
UCCGACCCGACCCGCGGCGCAUUGUGGGAUCUGUCGGCUUGUCAGGUGGUGGAGGAAAAGGCGCUCCGUCAUGGGGAUCCAGCCGAGCCCCGUCCUGCUGGCCUCCCUGGGGGUGGGGCUGGUCACUCUGCUCGGCCUGGCUGUGGGCUCCUACUUGGUUCGGAGGUCCCGCCGGCCUCAGGUCACUCUCCUGGACCCCAAUGAAAAGUACCUGCUACGACUGCUAGACAAGACGACUGUGAGCCACAACACCAAGAGGUUCCGCUUUGCCCUGCCCACCGCCCACCACACUCUGGGGCUGCCUGUGGCUCCUUGGGACCACAGCAGGAAGCAAGACAUCUUGUUCUUUCAAAUCUCUUUGAGUAUUUUGAGGGAUGCAGCACAUCACAGACAACCCUUAUGUAGCUCUCUGCACGGUCCCCAGGCAAACAUAUCUACCUCUCCACCCGAAUUGAUGGCAGCCUGGUCAUCAGGCCAUACACUCCUGUCACCAGUGAUGAGGAUCAAGGCUACGUGGAUCUUGUCAUCAAGGUCUACCUGAAGGGUGUGCACCCCAAAUUUCCUGAGGGAGGGAAGAUGUCUCAGUACCUGGAUAGCCUGAAGGUUGGGGAUGUGGUGGAGUUUCGGGGGCCAAGCGGGUUGCUCACUUACACUGGAAAAG